This 945-nucleotide long non-coding RNA is filed under the name Linum usitatissimum (flax). RNAcentral describes it as "long non-coding RNA (LUSI_LNC004894)". Lineage: Eukaryota; Viridiplantae; Streptophyta; Magnoliopsida; Malpighiales; Linaceae. The record is from RNAcentral.
CUCGAGGGCAUCUGAAUCCCGAUAGAAGAAUCAGGUUUGUUUUUCCUUAGAAAUUUCAUAUUAUGUUGUAAUUUUAACGUGGAAACGACCAAAUGUGAAUCAGGAAGGAAUCGUCAUUACUAUUGGGCUGCAUUACUUGUGUUCUCUAUUUACAGGUCAUGAAGCCCAAAACCAAGCCCAUACGAAUGAUGCUGAUGCUGGCCCAAACUAGAAUCAAGAGAGGACGCAAGGAGCUGCCGCUGCUGCAACUCUCUUGACCUAGCCGCGACUGAGAUGAGAAAGGAAAGAGGGAUUCUUCCUCGAAGCUUCCUCUGGCGUGGUUCAUCAGCAAGGGCAUCGUCUCGUAAACUAUAAAAGCGAGCCGCAACUUGCCUUCAUCCUUGCGCUUUUCACCUUUGAGAAGACGUGGGCUGGGAUGGCAAAUGCAGAGGGGCCUUUGUAUAGGAUUGCCGAGCUUCAACAAUCGUCAACCUGAUCGGAGAGUCGAGGACUACGGUGGACUGCAGCAGGAGGGUGCACCUGCGAUCGGAGGUUUUGAUUGGAGGUUGAAGACUUCAAGUGUUUAGGUCAUAAAGUCGCCGGGUUUCAUUUUAUCGUUUUGUUUUUAGUUCUUGCUACUGGUUCUAUUUCUGCAUUUUACCUUUGGUUCAGUAGCUAGUUAGAGUCUUGGGUUUUGAUUAAGUUUGUUGUGUAACUUGCUCAUCUGUGUCAAACUUAAUCACACUUUUGAUUCAUCUUGUGUUUAAUCCAAGUUGUCCUACUAUAUCGUUAGAAUUGCAUAAUAAGAUUAUACAUUGAUUGAUCUAGAAUUCUGACAGUAGUUCUUAGCUUGUAAUCAGCUUGUAAUCUAUGUUGCUGGUACUGUUAUUCCUAUCACGCUACGAUUGUGUUCAAUUGCCUUUCCUCAGGAACAGUGAUUCAUUCUUUAUUAACUUAAAGAGUUAC